Molecule: long non-coding RNA, 248 nt
Filed under: Pan troglodytes (chimpanzee)
Lineage: Eukaryota; Metazoa; Chordata; Mammalia; Primates; Hominidae
Description: long non-coding RNA NONPTRT007001
Source: RNAcentral
CACACGCAGGGGUCAGGUCUGUGAGGUCACGUGGGAGGCACACGCAGGGGUCAGGUCUUUGAGGUCACGUGGGAGGCACAGGCAGGGGUCAGGUCUGUGAGGUCACGUGGGAGGCACAGGCAGGGGUCAGGUCUGUGAGGUCACGUGGGAGGCACACGCAGGGGUCAGGUCUGUGAGGUCACGUGGGAGGCACACGCAGGGGUCAGGUCUGUGAGGUCACGUGGGAGGAACACGCAGGGGUCAGGUCU